UCACUAUGAUGAAUGGUCCAAAACAUUCGCGGUUUCCACCAGAAUGUCAAGCAAUGUUGGCAUUACCUUCCUUGGAUGUCUGAGUGA
Molecule: small nucleolar RNA, 87 nt
Organism: Chionomys nivalis (European snow vole)
Lineage: Eukaryota; Metazoa; Chordata; Mammalia; Rodentia; Cricetidae
Product: small nucleolar RNA SNORD14
Exons: 1
Source: RefSeq, a predicted model, not a curated record